GAGUGUGUGACUGCCCGCUGUCCCAAGGAAGACAAUUUGCAUAGAAAAGACACUUUGCAUUGGCAGCACAUGCUUCAGUGCACUGGGAGUGUUUAUAGCCCUGUGAGUUUAACACCUCAUGAUUGAGAGCUGCCCUCCAUGUCAACACAAUCUGAAACAACAAUGAGUUUUAUAAUUCACUUCAUCUGCUCGCUGAUAAUCUUCACUCACGAUUCCAGUGGACAGACUUUGACUCAGUCUCCAUCAGCUAAAUCUGUUGUCCCUGGAGAUACUGUCACUAUCAACUGCAAAGCCAGCAGCUCUGUGAACAGCUACCUAGUCUGGUACCUGCAGACACCUGGAGAAGCUCCUAAACUCCUGAUCUAUAGUGCAAGCACCCUUGAAUCUGGGAUCCCAGCUCGUUUCAGUGGCAGUGGAUCUGGGACUGACUACACUCUGACCAUCAGCGGUGUCCAGGCUGAAGAUGCAGGAGAUUACUACUGUCAGCAGGGUUACAGCACCCCUCUCACACAGUGAUACAUGUCCGUACAAAAACCUCCCUCAGCUUGACUGCACAGCGACUGCACUGCUGCAGCUGGACCUACUGCAGGUGCUGAGGGAGAAGACAGUGACAGUUGCUCAAGGACUGGAACAGAAAAAAAGAACUUCAUAAAACCAUGACACCCAGCAAGAGUUAUGUAUAUUUAUUUUUAAAUUAGACGCUUACAUAUUUAAAAUCACCAUUACAGAUCAUACAUGCUAAACCUGCUCCCCAGUCCAUUAUUAACAUAUAAGUAAUAAACUCCCUUUGUUCCAAUAUGAGUGAGAGUUCAACACGACUCUGAAAUACCUGGGAGUGAUUGCAGCUCCCACAAGGUGCGCUGGACACUCACAGUGCCGGGGUGUGGCAGGGAGGCUCAGUUAAACAAUCUGAAUACAUUUAACACGUCCAGAAUACACCGACCCCAAGUUAUCAACAGACAAGUCACCAAAGAGAUGCAUACAAUACAAUGCAAUACAAUACA
Non-coding RNA from Acipenser ruthenus (sterlet), 1004 nucleotides. Lineage: Eukaryota; Metazoa; Chordata; Actinopteri; Acipenseriformes; Acipenseridae. The record is from the annotation of a RefSeq genome assembly.